GCAAGUCGCACGGAGAGCAGACGGUCUUUAUAUUGUUUGUUUUCAGUGGCGGACGGGUGAGGAACACGUGAAUUACAUGCCCUGUAGAGGGGGAUAGCCCACCGAAAGGUGGAUUAAUACCCCAUAGUAUCGCAAGAUUAAAGGUGGCCUUCGGGCUGUCGCUACAGGAUUGGUUCGCGCCCUAUCAGCUUGUUGGAGAGGUAACGGCUCACCAAGGCAACGACGGGUAACUGGUCUGAGAGGACGAUC
RNAcentral lists this ribosomal RNA (249 nucleotides) under uncultured bacterium. Its description in RNAcentral is "partial 16S ribosomal RNA". It matches the Rfam family "Bacterial small subunit ribosomal RNA", at positions 57 to 305 of the family's 1533-position model. The record is from RNAcentral.